AGCGAACGCUGGCGGCAGGCCUAACACAUGCAAGUCGAACGAACCUUUCGGGGUUAGUGGCGGACGGGUGAGUAACACGUGGGAACGUGCCUAUAGGUUCGGAAUAACUCAGGGAAACUUGUGCUAAUACCGAAUGUGCCCUUCGGGGGAAAGAUUUAUCGGCUUUAGAGCGGCCCGCGUCUGAUUAGCUAGUUGGGUGAGGUAAGGGCUCACCAAGGCGACGUUCAGUAGCUGGUCUGAGAGGAGGGUCAGCAACAUUGGGGCUGGGACACGGCCCAAACUCCGACGGGAGGCAGUAGUGGGGAAUCGUGCGCAAUGGGCGAAAGCAUGAAGCAGUCCUGCCGCGUGAAUGAUGAUGGUCGGAGGAUAGUGAAAUUCUUUCACCGGGGACGAUAAUGACGGUACCCGGAGAAGAAGCCACGGCUAACUUCGUG
RNAcentral lists this ribosomal RNA (434 nucleotides) under uncultured bacterium. RNAcentral's name for it is "partial 16S ribosomal RNA". It matches the Rfam family "Bacterial small subunit ribosomal RNA", at positions 29 to 507 of the family's 1533-position model. The record is from RNAcentral.